Long non-coding RNA from Hyaena hyaena (striped hyena), 318 nucleotides. RefSeq lists it as uncharacterized. The record is from RefSeq and is a predicted model, not a curated record. The transcript has 3 exons. Lineage: Eukaryota; Metazoa; Chordata; Mammalia; Carnivora; Hyaenidae.
UGAUGUGGAGCACGGCUGUGUUGGAACCUGAGGUAGAGCUCAGUAUCAAGUUCAUGUCUGGUUUCAAAUGGACUCAAAACUAAAUAUCUGGCAUUUGAAAGAACUCUUAAAACUGCAACAUGCAGAUGAGCCUACUUAGAAUACAGCAAACUGAGAGGACUGGGUGGUGGUGUCUCCCAUUGGCCAGACCAACAAGAUGCUGGAGGGGAUGGCAGCUGUGGGUGCAUGCCAUAGAAAUCAGCCUCCUGGAGAACGAGUAGAGUAAAUAAGUAUGGAGAGAAUAUGAUGGUAGUGAGACUGAUCAAUGAAAAUAGCCCA